RNAcentral lists this ribosomal RNA (493 nucleotides) under alpha proteobacterium BAC216P. Its description in RNAcentral is "bacterial SSU rRNA". It matches the Rfam family "Bacterial small subunit ribosomal RNA", at positions 938 to 1434 of the family's 1533-position model. The record is from RNAcentral. Lineage: Bacteria; Pseudomonadati; Pseudomonadota; Alphaproteobacteria.
CAGUGGUUUAUUCGAAGCACGCGCAGAACCUUACCAGCGUUUGACAUGUCCGGACGAUUUCCAGAGAUGGAUUUCUUCCCUUCGGGGACUGGAACACAGGUGCUGCAUGGCUGUCGUCAGCUCGUGUCGUGAGAUGUUGGGUUAAGUCCCGCAACGAGCGCAACCCUCGCCUUUAGUUGCCAUCAUUUAGUUGGGCACUUUAAAGGAACCGCCGGUGAUAAGCCGGAGGAAGGUGGGGAUGACGUCAAGUCCUCAUGGCCCUUACGCGCUGGGCUACACACGUGCUACAAUGGCGGUGACAGUGGGCGGCAAACCGGCGACGGUGAGCUAAUCUCCAAAAGCCGUCUCAGUUCGGAUUGUUCUCUGCAACUCGAGAGCAUGAAGGCGGAAUCGCUAGUAAUCGCGGAUCAGCAUGCCGCGGUGAAUACGUUCCCAGGCCUUGUACACACCGCCCGUCACACCAUUGAAGUGUGGUUCACCCGAAGGCGUUGCG